AUGGCGGCGGGGUUGCCGGCGCUAUCUGCGGAGGAGGAGGGAGGAGAGGGUGCGGGGGUGGGCCGAAUCGGAGGCAUCUUCAGCGCGGAGGAGUGGAGAGAAAUUAAGGCGAGAUCGAAGCAAAUCCUGCGGACUGCCGCGGACCGGAAGAGCUGCCUGGGAAGAUUGAAGAAGAGGGCGGAGGAAAUCUUGGGCGGAUCCUCAGGUGAGCCUGCUUCUAAUUAUGGAAGAGGAUUGUCGGAUCCCUUCUGUCCAGGAGAGGUGAUUCUGCCAUCUGUAGAAUUUAGGGAUAGAAUUAAAAAGGAAAAGGAGAUAGGAAAGAAAGAGGAUUCGGUGUUGAUCUCUACUGGUUAUGGGAGGAUCCCGAAUUUCUAG
RNAcentral lists this ribosomal RNA (375 nucleotides) under Triticum aestivum (bread wheat). Its description in RNAcentral is "partial small subunit ribosomal RNA". Lineage: Eukaryota; Viridiplantae; Streptophyta; Magnoliopsida; Poales; Poaceae. The record is from RNAcentral.